GAUGAACGCUAGCUACAGGCUUAACACAUGCAAGUCGAGGGGAAACGACAUCGAAAGCUUGCUUUUGAUGGGCGUCGACCGGCGCACGGGUGAGUAACGCGUAUCCAACCUGCCCAUCACUUGGGAAUAACCUUGCGAAAGUAAGACUAAUACCCAAUGAUAUCCCACGAAGGCAUCGGAAUGGGAUUAAAGAUUUAUCGGUGAUGGAUGGGGAUGCGUCUGAUUAGCUUGUUGGCGGGGUAACGGCCCACCAAGGCAACGAUCAGUAGGGGUUCUGAGAGGAAGGUCCCCCACAUGGGAACUGAGACACGGUCCAAACUCCUACGGGAGGCAGCAGUGAGGAAUAUUGGUCAAUGGGCGAGAACCUGAACCAGCCAAGUAGCGUGCAGGAUGACGGCCCUAUGGGUUGUAAACUGCUUUUAUAAGGGAAUAAAGUGGGUCUCGUGAGACUUUUUGCAUGUACCUGAUGAAUAAGGACCGGCUAAUUCCGUG
RNAcentral lists this ribosomal RNA (492 nucleotides) under uncultured bacterium. Its description in RNAcentral is "partial 16S ribosomal RNA". It matches the Rfam family "Bacterial small subunit ribosomal RNA", at positions 28 to 507 of the family's 1533-position model. The record is from RNAcentral.